Molecule: long non-coding RNA, 743 nt
Filed under: Mus musculus (house mouse)
Lineage: Eukaryota; Metazoa; Chordata; Mammalia; Rodentia; Muridae
Description: long non-coding RNA chr15:32778684-32779427
Source: RNAcentral
AAUUUCUCCCUGGUUUUAUCAUGGAGUCCUGGCAACCUCCUUUCCCCCAGUAGCUGGGAGGAACCUUGAGGGCCAGGCUAGGAAGGGAGGGAAGGUGGGGGCGGUAGAGGCGGAGGCUGAGCAGGACCAAGACCAGGACUAGGACCAGGGAGAGGACGCGGAGAUGGGUGGGGUGAGAUCGAGGGGAGGACCCAGGAGGCGGCGGCGCAUAGGAGGGGCGCUGCAGCCAAGCCACCAGCCUAGCUGUAGAGUGCUGUACUCCACAUACUCCUGGAGAUCCAGCCCCGCAGAUCGCGCAUCCCUGCCGCCGUUCGCCUUUAGGCAUCCUAAACUUGAGCGGCAGCUCGGUUUCAACCGAUCGACUGCUUGCUUCAAAUCAGACAGCAUUGCGACCCAGACACCGGAGUCCGCCGAGUGAAAGCACAACGCAGAGUAGGACAAGACCAAGAAAACAGCCACGCGAAGCAGCAACUCUAGGUUGGGAGUGCAGAAGCCAACAAGUGAGAAGGCGCCGCGUUUCCGGGGCGCAGCUAGAAUGCUAGAGCAGGCGCCAGAGAAGACAGCUAGAGUCGGAAUCAGAGCCCAAACCUCUCUCCUGGAGGCGGCUCAGCUUCUUUCUUUUCUAGACCUUCUUCGGUUGCGCUGGGCUUCCUUUUAUCCGGGUAGGAGCCACAUCCCUGGGGAAUAUGCAGCGCGCGUGGAUCCUGCUCACCUUGGGCUUGAUGGCCUGUGUGUCCUCAGAG